This is a long non-coding RNA of Bos indicus x Bos taurus (hybrid cattle), 1124 nucleotides long. The record is from Ensembl. Lineage: Eukaryota; Metazoa; Chordata; Mammalia; Artiodactyla; Bovidae.
CGGCACGACCAGCGAGCGCGUUACGAAAGCGGCUAAAAGAAAAUCUCGAUGCUCAGAAAGGAAAGCCAGUCUCUUUUUACAGCCCAGCGAGCUCGCCCACCCCACGCGCCGGUACCCGCGAGACGCUCGAGCCAUUGGUGGAGAGAAAGCCGGGAAGACACGGAGAAGGCGCUCGCGGGACUUGUCCCGGCCCGGCCCCGAGCGCAGUUACCCGUCCAAGGCGGGAGCUGCAGCCGCCUCCUGUCGCUCCUCGGCCUCCGCCGCCUCCGCCUCCUCCUCCGGCCCCGCGCGCCUCGCGGGCCCCGGACGCGGCUGCCCGGGGCGGAGAGCGCGGGGACGCCGCAAAAGGAGCCGAGGAAGUCCCUGAGCUCCACGGGCCCGCUGGGAGCCGACCGUCAACGGGCUCAGCGCGGCGGGCGCCCAGCUCCUGCUCACCCGGGCCGGCCCAGGAGCGACUGUCCCACGCCCGCCGCCGCCGCAGCUGCCCCCGCGCGUAUCCGUGCUCGGCUCGGGCACCGGGCGAUUAUCACUGGGGCGCGCGGUGACGUCACCCGGACACCGGCUCCGUCGCCGCCUCCCCGAGGUGUCCUUGAGAACUGCGGGGCACGCGCGCCGCGCACACGCGCAUACACGCACUGCGCGCCCGGUGCCUCCCGCGCACACUCGCCGUGUCGAGCUCCGCGCGCUCUUCCGUUAACACGGACGCCGCCCUCGAGCGCCCUCGACCGUCCCCGGCGCCCCGCGGCCGCACGUCUACCCACGGGAACGUGUCUCUCUCAUCCACACACACACCAGGACCCUCCCGUGCCCCUCCCGCACCCACGCGAACGCUCCUCCUGAAGCCCCGCGGCCGCAGCCCCUCUGAGUGCACGUUGACAACCAGCAACCACGCCUCGGCUGCACACGGCUUGGUCUCACACGCAGACGCACCUCCGCACGGCCUGCUCCGCAGGUUCGCGCUUCCAGUCUUUCCCCCAUAAGGCGCACAUCGUCACUACCCACAGCGCCUGCAGCCCCCACAGGAAAGGAAGGCUCGGGAGCCCAGAGCUCGGAGCGGCCCACUGGGUAGUUAUCUGGAGGAGGGAGAUAGACACCCCAUCAAAGAUCACUCUCCUUGCUGUGUC